CCCACCAUGACAGUGGUCCAAAGCGUCCUCCUCUUGGCUCUCAUUUCAGCUGCUAAGGGCCAGUCCCUCACCUCCUCAGAGCCAGUAGUCAGCAGACCAGGACAACCAGUCACUCUGUCCUGUAAAGUGGAUGGACUUGCUCUGACUUGGCUGCACUGGAUUCGUCAAAAACCAGGGAGAGGUCUGGAAUGGAUCGGACGCAUUGAUGGCGGAACCGGCACAAUAUUUGCCCAAAGUCUCCGAGGCCAGUUUUCCAUCACCAAGGACACGUCUGUAAAUGUUGUGUACUUAGAGGUGAAGAGUCCCAAACAAGAAGACUCUGCAGUUUAUUUCUGUGCACGAGAGCCACAGUGA
Molecule: non-coding RNA, 354 nt
Organism: Notolabrus celidotus (New Zealand spotty)
Lineage: Eukaryota; Metazoa; Chordata; Actinopteri; Labriformes; Labridae
Source: the annotation of a RefSeq genome assembly